RNAcentral lists this ribosomal RNA (597 nucleotides) under uncultured bacterium. RNAcentral describes it as "bacterial SSU rRNA". It matches the Rfam family "Bacterial small subunit ribosomal RNA", at positions 112 to 704 of the family's 1533-position model. The record is from RNAcentral.
AAUGCUUGGGAAUCUGCCUGGUAGUGGGGGAUAACGUUCCGAAAGGAACGCUAAUACCGCAUACGCCCUACGGGGGAAAGCAGGGGAUCUUCGGACCUUGCGCUAAUAGAUGAGCCUAAGUCAGAUUAGCUAGUUGGUGGGGUAAAGGCCUACCAAGGCGACGAUCUGUAACGGGUCUGAGUGGAUGAUCCGUCACACUGGGACUGAGACACGGCCCAGACUCCUACGGGAGGCAGCAGUGGGGAAUAUUGGACAAUGGGGGCAACCCUGAUCCAGCCAUGCCGCGUGUGUGAAGAAGGCCUUUUGGUUGUAAAGCACUUUAAGCGAGGAGGAGGCUCCUGUAGAUAAUACCUACAGUGAGUGGACGUUACUCGCAGAAUAAGCACCGGCUAACUCUGUGCCAGCAGCCGCGGUAAUACAGAGGGUGCGAGCGUUAAUCGGAUUUACUGGGCGUAAAGCGUGCGUAGGUGGCCAAUUAAGUCAAAUGUGAAAUCCCUGAGCUUAACUUAGGAAUUGCAUUCGAUACUGGUUGGCUAGAGUAUGGGAGAGGAUGGUAGAAUUCCAGGUGUAGCGGUGAAAUGCGUAGAGAUCUGGAGG